Molecule: ribosomal RNA, 301 nt
Filed under: uncultured bacterium
Lineage: Bacteria
Description: partial 16S ribosomal RNA
Rfam family: Bacterial small subunit ribosomal RNA
Source: RNAcentral
CAGCAGCCACGGUAAAACGUAGGUGGCAAGCGUUGUCCGGAAUUAUUGGGCGUAAAGGGCUCGCAGGCGGUUUCUUAAGUCUGAUGUGAAAGCCCCCGGCCCAACCGGGGAGGGUCAUUGGAAACUGGGAAACUUGAGUGCAGAAGGGGAGAGUGGAAUUCCAUGUGUAGCGGUGAAAUGCGUAGAUAUAUGGAGGAACACCAGUGGCGAAGGCGACUCUCUGGUCUGUAACUGACGCUGAGGCGCGAAAGCGCGGGGAGCAAACAGGAUUAGAUACCCCUGUAGUCCCUGUCUCUUAUAC